Molecule: ribosomal RNA, 465 nt
Filed under: uncultured bacterium
Lineage: Bacteria
Description: partial 16S ribosomal RNA
Rfam family: Bacterial small subunit ribosomal RNA
Source: RNAcentral
GACGAACGCUGGCGGCGUGCUUAACACAUGCAAGUCGAACGGCAAGGCCCUGCUUGCUGGGUCCUCGAGUGGCGAACGGGUGAGUAACACGUGGGUGCUCUGCCCUGUACUUCGGGAUAAGCCUGGGCAACUGGGUCUAAUACCGGAUAGCAGCCACUUUUAGUGUGUUGGUUGGAAAGUUUUUUCGGUGUAGGGUGAGCUCGCGGCCCAUCAGCUUGUUGGUGGGGUAAUGGCCUACCAACGCAGCGACGGGUAGCCGGACUGAGAGGGUGGACGGCGACAUUGGGACUGAGGGACGGCAGCGGCGCGGACGGGAGGAAGCUGGGGGGAAGAUUGCACAAUGGGCGCAAGCUGGAUGCAGCGAGGCCUCGGGUGGGAAGACGGCCUUCGUGUUGAAAACAAGUUUCGCUAGGGACGAAGCUUUUUGUGACGGUACCUAGAGAAGAAGCACCGGCUAACUACGUG